UCGUUGCCUUCGGAAAACACGACCGGUGCACGCGUGACAGAAUGCUACCGGGGAGGUGCUUGCCGCCUCCUCGGCCCCACCGGCCUCGUCUCUCUCGCCCUCUCAGUGGGCGCGUCGGAUGCUGGCCGGAAUACGGCGCGGGAUGACGCCAAGGAACACGAAAAUGCUGAGGCAUCGGCGAGCCGCUCGAGGGCUGCGCCGGUUGCCAAGGCCAAUGAAAAAA
Molecule: unclassified non-coding RNA, 223 nt
Filed under: Carex sp. 9018
Lineage: Eukaryota; Viridiplantae; Streptophyta; Magnoliopsida; Poales; Cyperaceae
Description: partial ITS1
Source: RNAcentral